GUAAGCUACUAAGAGCGAAUGGUGGAUGCCUUGACUGGUAAAGGCGAUGAAGGACGUACUAGACUGCGAUAAGCUACGGGGAGCUGUCAAGAAGCUUUGAUCCGUAGAUUUCCGAAUGGGGCAACCCAAUGUAUAGAGAUAUACAUUACCUAUAUAGGAGCGAACGAGGGGAAUUGAAACAUCUUAGUACCCUCAGGAAAAGAAAUCAAUAGAGAUUGCGUCAGUAGCGGCGAGCGAAAGCGCAAGAGGGCAAACCCAGUGCUUGCACUGGGGGUUGUAGGACUGCAAUGUGCAAGAGGUGAGUUUAGCAGAACAUUCUGGAAAGUAUAGCCAUAGAGGGUGAUAGUCCCGUAUGCGAAAAACAAACCUUAGCUAGCAGUAUCCUGAGUAGGGCGGGACACGAGAAAUCCUGUCUGAAGCUGGGUCGACCACGAUCCAACCCUAAAUACUAAUACCAGAUCGAUAGUGCACAAGUACCGUGAGGGAAAGGUGAAAAGAACUGAGGUGAUCAGAGUGAAAUAGAACCUGAAACCAUUUGCUUACAAUCAUUCAGAGCACUAUGUAGCAAUACAGUGUGAUGGACUGCCUUUUGCAUAAUGAGCCUGCGAGUUGUGGUGUCUGGCAAGGUUAAGCAAACGCGAAGCCGUAGCGAAAGCGAGUCUGAAUAGGGCGCUUAGUCAGAUGCUGCAGACCCGAAACGAAGUGAUCUAUCCAUGAGCAAGUUGAAGCUAGUGUAAGAACUAGUGGAGGACUGAACCCAUAGGCGUUGAAAAGCCCCGGGAUGACUUGUGGAUAGGGGUGAAAGGCCAAUCAAACUUCGUGAUAGCUGGUUCUCUCCGAAAUAUAUUUAGGUAUAGCGUUGUGUCGUAAUAUAAGGGGGUAGAGCACUGAAUGGGCUAGGGCAUACACCAAUGUACCAAACCCUAUCAAACUCCGAAUACCUUAUAUGUAAUCACAGCAGUCAGGCGGCGAGUGAUAAAAUCCGUCGUCAAGAGGGAAACAACCCAGACUACCAGCUAAGGUCCCUAAAUCUUACUUAAGUGGAAAACGAUGUGAAGUUACUUAAACAACCAGGAGGUUGGCUUAGAAGCAGCCAUCCUUUAAAGAAAGCGUAAUAGCUCACUGGUCUAGUGAUUUUGCGCGGAAAAUAUAACGGGGCUAAAGUAAGUACCGAAGCUGUAGACUUGACUUUGUCAAGUGGUAGGAGAGCGUUCUAUUUGCGUCGAAGGUAUACCGGUAAGGAGUGCUGGAGCGAAUAGAAGUGAGCAUGCAGGCAUGAGUAGCGAUAAUUAAUGUGAGAAUCAUUAACGCCGUAAACCCAAGGUUUCCUACGCGAUGCUCGUCAUCGUAGGGUUAGUCGGGUCCUAAGUCGAGUCCGAAAGGGGUAGACGAUGGCAAAUUGGUUAAUAUUCCAAUACCAACAUUAGUGUGCGAUGGAAGGACGCUUAGGGCUAAGGGGGCUAGCGGAUGGAAGUGCUAGUCUAAGGUCGUAGGUGCUUAUACAGGCAAAUCCGUAUAAGAAUACACCGAGAACUGAAAGGCUUUUUGAAGUCUUCGGAUGGAUAGAAGAACCCCUGAUGCCGUCGAGCCAAGAAAAGUUUCUAAGUUUAGCUAAUGUUGCCCGUACCGUAAACCGACACAGGUGGGUGGGAUGAGUAUUCUAAGGCGCGUGGAAGAACUCUCUUUAAGGAACUCUGCAAAAUAGCACCGUAUCUUCGGUAUAAGGUGUGGUUCGCUUCGUAUUAGGAUUUACUCCGAAAGCGAAGAAACUUACAACAAAGAGUCCCUCCCGACUGUUUACCAAAAACACAGCACUCUGCUAACUCGUAAGAGGAUGUAUAGGGUGUGACGCCUGCCCGGUGCUCGAAGGUUAAUUGAUGGGGUUAGCAUUAGCGAAGCUCUUGAUCGAAGCCCGAGUAAACGGCGGCCGUAACUAUAACGGUCCUAAGGUAGCGAAAUUCCUUGUCGGUUAAAUACCGACCUGCAUGAAUGGCGUAACGAGAUGGGAGCUGUCUCAAAGAGGGAUCCAGUGAAAUUGUAGUGGAGGUGAAAAUUCCUCCUACCCGCGGCAAGACGGAAAGACCCCGUGGACCUUUACUACAGCUUGACACUGCUAUUUGGAUAAGAAUGUGCAGGAUAGGUGGGAGGCUUUGAGUAUAUGACGCCAGUUGUAUAUGAGCCAUUGUUGAGAUACCACUCUUUCUUAUUUGGGUAGCUAACCAGCUUGAGUUAUCCUCAAGUGGGACAAUGUCUGGUGGGUAGUUUGACUGGGGCGGUCGCCUCCCAAAUAAUAACGGAGGCUUACAAAGGUUGGCUCAGAACGGUUGGAAAUCGUUCGUAGAGUAUAAAGGUAUAAGCCAGCUUAACUGCAAGACAUACAAGUCAAGCAGAGACGAAAGUCGGUCUUAGUGAUCCGGUGGUUCUGUGUGGAAGGGCCAUCGCUCAAAGGAUAAAAGGUACCCCGGGGAUAACAGGCUGAUCUCCCCCAAGAGCUCACAUCGACGGGGAGGUUUGGCACCUCGAUGUCGGCUCAUCGCAUCCUGGGGCUGGAGCAGGUCCCAAGGGUAUGGCUG
This 2573-nucleotide ribosomal RNA is filed under the name Campylobacter coli BIGS0016. Its description in RNAcentral is "bacterial LSU rRNA". It matches the Rfam family "Bacterial large subunit ribosomal RNA", at positions 1 to 2579 of the family's 2925-position model. Lineage: Bacteria; Pseudomonadati; Campylobacterota; Epsilonproteobacteria; Campylobacterales; Campylobacteraceae. The record is from RNAcentral.